GAUGAAGAACGCAGCGAAAUGCGAUACUUGGUGUGAAUUGCAGAAUCCCGUGAACCAUCGAGUCUUUGAACGCAAGUUGCGCCCGAAGCCACUAGGCCGAGGGCACGCCUGCCUGGGCGUCACACGUCGUUGCCCCCCACCAUCUACUCCUUCGGGAUUGCGGGGGGCGGCUGAUGGCCUCCCGUGCGCCUAGCCGCGCGGUUGGCAUAAAUACCAAGUCCUCGGCGACGCACGCCACGACAAUCGGUGGUUGCGAAACCUCGGUUGCCCGUCGUGUGCGUUCGUCGCGCAUCGAGGGCUCGAAAAAAUGCUCGGCUCCGGCUCGGCUUUCAACGCGACCCCAGGUCAGGCGGGGUUACCCGCUGAAUUUAAGCAUAUCAAUAAGCGGAGGA
RNAcentral lists this unclassified non-coding RNA (392 nucleotides) under soil metagenome. Its description in RNAcentral is "partial contains 5.8S ribosomal RNA, internal transcribed spacer 2, and large subunit ribosomal RNA". The stretch from base 1 to 122 matches the Rfam family "5.8S ribosomal RNA", at positions 35 to 154 of the family's 154-position model. The record is from RNAcentral.